Molecule: long non-coding RNA, 1039 nt
Organism: Phacochoerus africanus (Common warthog)
Lineage: Eukaryota; Metazoa; Chordata; Mammalia; Artiodactyla; Suidae
Exons: 3
Source: RefSeq, a predicted model, not a curated record
AAUAAUUUUUGUUUCUGAUCAGGGAAAGAAGAUAAAAAUGUGUAUUUCAAGGUGUGACUUAAAAGACCUUUCUAUUGCUUAUGUUGAGGAGGAAGAAGAGAAGAAUUGAGCUGGAAGAUUGAAGUUGGAAACAAGGAGAGGAUGCUUGGAAAUGGGUCAUCCAGCAGGGGACCAGUGUAAAGAUCAGAGUGUACCGGGAUGCCUAGAUGAAAAUGGAGAAGGUCUUGGCAAGAAAGAAAGAGGAUGGAUGUAUCAGGAGCAUCAUGAAGGACUUCUAAAGUGAAAUAUGCAGUAGCAAAGUAGCAGGCAUCGUCUACCAGAGAGAAAAGAGUAUUCUUGAGUCCUUGGUGUUUGCAACCCAAAACAAGGAUGUGGCCACUCUUUCUUGGACUGAAUAUUGAGUAGACUGUGGAGGAGGAAUUGGCAUAAAACUGUUCCUUCCUUUUCUUGUCCUGCAUCUGCUCCUAUCUGUUUUCCCAGACCUGUAAGAGAGGAAUGUAAGAGAAAAAGCUAAUUCACCCUAUGGCAGUGGUUCUCAACUCUGGCUCAUGUGAGUAUCAUGAGGGUGAGUGGGGUAGGGAAGAUACUCCUAGAGUUCUGACUUCAUUUUUUCUGGAUGGGUUCUGGGCAUUUAUGGCUUCGAUUCAAGCAGAGUUGAGAACCAACUGGUCUACAUACUUUCCCCCUCACAUCAUACACUUGACAUUUUGAAAAAUUCUGUAUCACUUCACAUUUUUAGGUUGCCAUAUAAAAUAUUUCGGCAUAAGUUUAAGUAGCUUCAAUAAUGUACUCUUCUACGUAUUACAAAUGUCGAUAUUUUAAAAUAAAGCAAAUAAAUAAUCACAUGAGUCUGUGAAACCAGAGACUAGGGGAUUGGAUACCUGUCUACCGUUACCCAUUUAAGAAAUAGAUGAAUAAGCCUUCUUUUAACUCUUGGACAUUUUACAUUAUUCCUUUUCCUCCUCGAACUCCUACUUCUAUUCAGUUUCUCUCACAGAACUUUUGGUUUAUUGAUUAUUUCAUCAUUUUUCUCUGUAAC